Molecule: long non-coding RNA, 1589 nt
Filed under: Prunus persica (peach)
Lineage: Eukaryota; Viridiplantae; Streptophyta; Magnoliopsida; Rosales; Rosaceae
Description: long non-coding RNA (PPER_LNC000693)
Source: RNAcentral
CAUGGUCUUGAUCACUCUUUGUUGUUGAAUAUGAGAGAAAUAUAGAGCUAAGCGAGGACGAGAAUAAGGCAAUGGACCUAAUACUUUUCCUGCCCGCUGAGCUGAGGUUCGCCGAGAGGUUGCUAACACCCAAAAGGCUCAAGAAAGUCAGAUUGUUGACUAUGUCUUCAAGUAAGUGAUGUAUCGUAAUCGUGCGUGUGUUGUUUUCGCUAUAUUUUCUUUCUUCUAUUUUUUUCCAUAUCUAACCAAAUUGCUUGUCGGGGAUGAGGCCUAUUUGUAAUGACCUCGAGGCUCGGCCCAGGCUGAAAAGGAUGGCAUGUAUGAAACCCAUCCCCUUGUGACCGAGCAGAUUUGAAGUGAUGGAUUGGACUGAUAAAAUGGCAUAUGACAAGCCUCUAGGUCCCAAUGGUGGGUUUGACUUCCAAGCGUUCACUCAAAGGGAUCAAAGUGCAAUGGCCGACCUUCCCUAUAGUCGAGAGAGGGCUAAGAGGCGAUCCCAAGACCAUAUGGGUCAGGGUUCGGGGAAGAGGGGGAGUUGAGUACUUUGGCGGCCCGACGGCCAUGACAUAGAUGUGGGGACAACAAAGCCUUGAGAGCUUUUAAGUGGGCUUGUCGUGUCAAGUUUGUAAAUGUGUUAAGAUUGCUCAACCCAAACUUGACCCGUUUAAUAAAAGUGUCGUGUCAAAUUGACCCGCUAAUUUCUAGUAUGGGUUUUGAGUCGUGUAUCAGGUUGACCUGCAAAGCAGUAGCAAAUAAUAACUAGCGAGGUAAAAAAUGUAGACAAAAAAAGAAGUAGAGAAAGAGAUGACUAUUCAAAGAAUUUUCCAUUAUCACAAUAAUGUGAGAAUUGGUUAUGAUGAAAAAGAUAUAUGUGUAAAUUACUAAAGACAAAUAAUAAUAAAAAAAAAACAAAGAUCCACAUCUCAAAUUCACAAGAUCAUAAAUAAAAAAAAUAAAAAACAAAAACCCUAAAUUUUGAUAAUUUAAUCGACUUUUUUUAUAUAUAAAAAUAGUGAUUACAUUUUGCCUCUAUGUAUGUAUGAGAUUGAGAAAGAUAAAUAAUAAAAAAUUAAAAAAAUGAAGAAAAUGAAGAAGAAAUCAAGAAACGGGUUAACAGGUUGGCAUGUAUUACAAGGGAUGAUAUGACCCUUUUAAAAAACGGGUUACAUAGUAUUUUAGUAAGUUGGCCGGUUGACCCGAAAUUCAACCGUUUCUUAAACGGGUAAUGGGGGGUUGAUUCAAAAAUUUAAUCGUGCGGGUUGACCUGCUAAUUUUCCAUGUGGGUUUCGAGUCUUGUAACGGGCUGUAUCAGAAAUUACCACCCCUACUGACUUUUGACCCAAAAGCAAGAAACAUUAUAAUUUUCAUGAUUGCCAACGAAGUUAACUCAUAUUCACAACCCGGAGCAGGACCACUUGGGCUAGCAGCAAAGAAGAAGAAUUAAAAGAAAUGGUGAAAAGAGUGGUAAAAAUGGAAGGCAAACAUGAUAUUCAUAUAGUCCUUCACUUUACCACACAAGAGUAAUGGACUGGACACACCAUCGUACCAUAAAAAUGCAAACAUAAUAGACAGAACCUGCAGACACGCAC